This 456-nucleotide ribosomal RNA is filed under the name Basiliolella grayi. RNAcentral's name for it is "partial 16S large subunit ribosomal RNA". It matches the Rfam family "Bacterial large subunit ribosomal RNA", at positions 1843 to 2583 of the family's 2925-position model. Lineage: Eukaryota; Metazoa; Brachiopoda; Rhynchonellata; Rhynchonellida; Basiliolidae. The record is from RNAcentral.
CCAUAAGAGGCAAAAUCUGCCCAGUGCUUUUAAAGCAAACGGCCGCGGUACCCUAACCGUGCGAAGGUAGCAUAAUCACUUGCCUAAUAAUUCUAGGCUAGAAUGAAAGAUCAGACGAGGGGUUACCUGUCUCCCUAGUAACAACAAAAACUAACCUCCAGGUGAAAAGGCCCGGAUAAAACUAAAGGACAAAAAGACCCUAUCGAGCUUAAGUAGGACCCCACGACUCAAAACUCGGCCCAACUACUUUUGUUGGGGCAACAAAGGACUUCACCACCCUCCUUCAAACAUAACUCCAAUAAGAAACCACCCCGCUCCUGACGCAAACAAAAAAGCUACCGUAGGGAUAACAGCGUAAUUUCUUUUAAGAGCCCAAAUCACCAAAGAAGAUUGCGACCUCGAUGUUGGACUAAGAACACUAUUAAGAGCAAAAACUUAAUAAAGUGGGUCUGUUCG